This 467-nucleotide ribosomal RNA is filed under the name uncultured bacterium. RNAcentral describes it as "partial 16S ribosomal RNA". It matches the Rfam family "Bacterial small subunit ribosomal RNA", at positions 28 to 507 of the family's 1533-position model. The record is from RNAcentral.
GACGAACGCUGGCGGCGUGCUUAACACAUGCAAGUCGAACGGAAAGGCCCUGCUUUUGUGGGGUGCUCGAGUGGCGAACGGGUGAGUACACGUGAGUAACCUGCCCUUGCCUUUGGGAUAACUUCAGGAAACUGGGGCUAAUACCGGUUAGGAGCUCCUGCUGCCUGGUGGGGGUUGGAAAGUUUCGGCGGUUGGGGAUGGACUCGCGGCUUAUCAGCUUGUUUGGGGGGUAGUGGCUUACCAAGGCUUUGCCGGGUAGCCGGCCUGAGAGGGGGACCGGCCACAUUGGGACUGAGAUACGGCCCAGACUCCUACGGGAGGCAGCAGGGGGGAAUAUUGCACAAUGGGCGGAAGCCUGAUGCAGAAACGCCGCGUGCGGGAUGACGGCCUUCGGGUUGUAAACCGCUUUCGCCUGUGACGAAGCGUGAGUGACGGUAAUGGGUAAAGAAGCACCGGCUAACUACGUG